GCUGGGUGUGGUGGCACAUGCCUGUAAUCCCAGCUACUCGGGAGGCUGAGGCACGAGAAUCACUUGAACCUGGGAGGUGGAGGUUGCAGUGAGCCGAGAUCGCGCCACUGCACUCCAGCCUGGGUGACAGAGUGAGACUGUGCCUCAA
RNAcentral lists this non-coding RNA (148 nucleotides) under Nomascus leucogenys (northern white-cheeked gibbon). Lineage: Eukaryota; Metazoa; Chordata; Mammalia; Primates; Hylobatidae. The record is from Rfam by way of RNAcentral.